GCCAGUGUGGCGUAGUGCUUUGAGUGUUGGACUGUGACUCUGGAGAGUAGGGUUUAAAUCCCUACUCAGCCA
Non-coding RNA from Phrynosoma platyrhinos (Desert horned lizard), 72 nucleotides. NCBI's taxonomy places the organism in Eukaryota, Metazoa, Chordata, Lepidosauria, Squamata, Phrynosomatidae. The record is from the annotation of a GenBank genome assembly.